RNAcentral lists this ribosomal RNA (342 nucleotides) under uncultured bacterium. RNAcentral describes it as "bacterial SSU rRNA". It matches the Rfam family "Bacterial small subunit ribosomal RNA", at positions 767 to 1107 of the family's 1533-position model. The record is from RNAcentral.
AGCUAAUAGAUACCCGGGUAGUCCACGCCCUAAACGAUGCGUAUUUGGUGUGGGCAGUUCAUUCUGUCCGUGCCGGAGCUAAACGCGUUAAAUAUGCCGCCUGGGGAGUACAGUCGCAAGGCUGAAACUCAAAGGAAUUGACGGGGGCCGGCACAAGCGGUGGAGCAUGUGGUUCUAAUUACGUACGCAACGCGAAGAACCUUACCUGGGCGUCGAACGGCUGGUCAACGGCUGCGGAAACGUAGCUACCCGCAAGGGGGUCCGAUCGGAGGUGCUGCAUGGCGUGUCGUCAGCUCGUGUCGUGAGAUGUUGGGUUAAGUCCCGCAACGAGCGCAACCCUUG